AGACACCAUUAAAAUACCAGUGGUUAAGCCUCUGCUGAUCAUGGUGUCCAAAAAAGUUAAUGUGGCUAAAUUGAGACACAGGCUAUGCUUCCAUCACAGAACCCAUGCUGCAGUGGUGACAAUGAAACCUGUAACAUUU
This is a small nucleolar RNA of Symphalangus syndactylus (siamang), 139 nucleotides long. RefSeq annotates it as small nucleolar RNA SNORA1. The record is from RefSeq and is a predicted model, not a curated record. Lineage: Eukaryota; Metazoa; Chordata; Mammalia; Primates; Hylobatidae.